GCUUCUUGCCCUGAACAAGUCUGCGCCAAGGGAGAGGAGGCUCCCCAAAGUCCUGACUGGCUUGGAGGGGAGCAGUUCCAGCGCAUCGCCCGGUGACUUCGUGACAGGCAUGGAGGAGGGACAUG
This is a long non-coding RNA of Gopherus evgoodei (Goodes thornscrub tortoise), 125 nucleotides long. RefSeq lists it as uncharacterized. The transcript has 3 exons. The record is from RefSeq and is a predicted model, not a curated record. Lineage: Eukaryota; Metazoa; Chordata; Testudines; Testudinidae.